This 1056-nucleotide ribosomal RNA is filed under the name Triticum aestivum (bread wheat). RNAcentral describes it as "partial small subunit ribosomal RNA". The record is from RNAcentral. Lineage: Eukaryota; Viridiplantae; Streptophyta; Magnoliopsida; Poales; Poaceae.
AUGGUUACCAAGUCCUCCUCGGCGGUGGUAAUUCACGCCGGCGAGCACCUGUUCAAGGUCAUCGGCCACUCCACGAUCACGGGCAAGAUUACGCUCACUUCCGACACUUUCCGCGUUGCUGACCACGACUGGGCUAUCCUGUACUACCCGAACGGCGACGCUAGGGUCGUCGACGAUCAGUUCAGUUCGAUUUUCCUUAAGCUGGUGAACGCCGGCGAGGAUGAGAUCACGGUCUGCUAUUCCUUCUGUCUCCAGGACCCCGCUGCGCCGGCGACAGGGGAAAAGCACAUAUACCAAAGCGGAUCCCAGAAGUUCUCAUCCACAAAUUCGGCCUGGGGUAGGAGCAAUUUUGUGAGUAAAGCCGAUUUGUCCGGGUGCCUCGACGAUGGCUGCCUAGUGAUCAAGUGCACCGUCGAGGUCCCAAGACUGAUGGACGACCGACAGGAGGGCGAUGAUAACGACGGCGUCAUCGUGCCGCCCGCAGACCUAAGCAAAGAUCUGGCUAAUCUUCUAGACAGCGGGCUCAAGGCGGACCUGACCGUCAAGAUUGGUUGGUUCAAGAGAUUCAAGGUGCACGCGUGCGUGCUCGCUGCGCGAUCGCCCGUCUUCCGAGCCCAGCUGUGCGGCGCCAUGAUGGAGAGCAGAGAAAGCAGCAUCCGCAUCGAGGACGUGGAUGCCAAGGUUUUCGAGAUCCUGCUGCAUUACGUGUACAAUGAUCGUCUGCCGGAGUCUAUGGACGAGACAACGGAGGAGACCACAAACAUGGCGCAACAUUUGCUUAUCGCGGCCGAUCGUUACGCAAUGGAAAGGCUAAAGCUGAUAUGCGAGAGCAGGCUGAGCAAGGCGCUGGAUAUCAACACGGUGGGUUUCACCUUGGAUCUUGCAGAGCAAUACCAUUGUCAGCAGCUCAAGGAUUGUUGUCUCAGGUAUAUGACAAGAAACAGCAAGAGAUUACAAGAAAUCAUAAACAGCGAGGGGUUUGCUCAACUAACGCGAAACCACCCACAGGCCGCAUUCGAUAUUCUUGGACAAGUUAUUGCCUUACUGGCAACUUAG